ACUCUCUCGCGAGAGGGCCGCAGAGCCGCCUUUGACGGGGGCGUGUACCUGGAGAGCAACGGAGCCUAUGAGGUUGGUCCUAUUUUUACUCUCACUUAUCCCUACUUACCAGAUGAGGAUCCUGAGGCUCAGAAAAACUCUUGACAAAAUUCUCAGGGAAAACUCUUCAGCUCUGGAUGUCUCCCUUUUUGUGGAUCAAACACAAAGGGCAUCAUUCUAAAAUAUAUACAGAACCAUAAAAGCCCCAAAUAGCCAAAGCAACCCUGAGCAAAAAGAACAAGGCUGGAAGCAUCACACUACCAGACUUCAAAAUUUACUACAAAGCUCUAAUACCUAAAAUAACAUGGUACUGGCAUUAAAAAAAAAAAAAAAAUAGGCACAUAGACCACCAAUGAAACAGUAUAGAGAAUCUAGAUAUACCAACUCAUCUUUAACAAAGGUGCCAAGAACAUACAAUGAGGAAACGAUGGUCUUUUCAAUAAAUGGUGUGGGGGAAAGCUAGAUAACUAUAUGCAGAAGAAUGAAACAAGAUUCCUCUCUCUCGCUAUACACAAAAAUCAAAUCAAAAUGGAUUAAAGGCUUAAAUCUAAGACCUGAAACUACAAAACUAGAAGAACACACUGGAGAAGUGCUCCAGGACCUUGGUCUGGGAAAAGAUUUUUUUGUUUAAGACCUCAAAAGCACAGACAACAAAGCAAAAACAGACAAAUGAGAUUACAUUAAGCUAAAAAGUUUCUGCACAGCAAAGGAAACACUCAACAGAGUGGGGGAGACAACCCACAGAAUGAGAGAAAACAUUUUCAAACUAUCCAUCCGACAAGGGAUUAAUGACCAGAAUAAAGAGACCAAACAAUUUAAGCCAAAAACAAAACAAACAAACACACAAAAAAAACAAAAGCCAAAUAAUCUAAAAAGUGGGCAGGUUGGGUGGGGUGGCUCAAGCCUAUAAUCCCAGCACUUUGGGAGGCCAAGGCAGGCAGGUCAAGAGAUCGAGACCAUCCUGGCCAACAUGGUGAAACCCCAUCUCUACUGAAAAUACAAAAAAAAUUAGCCGGGUGUGGUGGCAUGUGCCUGUAGUCCCAGCUACUUGGGAAGCUGAGGCAGUGAGAAUCGCUUGAACCUGGGAGGCAGAGGUUGCAGUGAACCAAGAUCACACAACUGCACUCCAGCCUGAUGACAGAGCGAGACUCCAUCUUGAAAAAAAAAAAAAAAAAAGUGGGCAAAAGAUCCAAACAGACAUUUCUCAAAGGAAGACAUAAAAAUGGCCAACAGGUAUAUGAAAAAAUGCUCAACAUUACUAAUCAUUAGAGAAAUGCAAAUUAAAACAACAUGUUAUUUCACCCCAGUUAAAAUGGCUUGUAUUAAGAAAACAGAUAAUAACAGAUGCUAGUGAGGAUGUGGAGAAAAGAGAACCCUCAUACACUGUUGGUAGAAAUGUAAACUAGUACAACCACUAUGAAGAACAGUAUGGAAGUUCUUCAAAAAACUAAAAAUAGAAUUACCAUAUGAUCCAGCAAUUCCACUACUGAAUAUGUAUCCAAAAGAAAGGAAAUCCGUAUAUCAAAAAGAUAUCUGCACUCCCAUGUUUAUUGCAGCAUUGUUCACAAUAGCCAAGAUAUGGAAUUAACCUAAGUGCCCAUCAAUGGGUGAAUGGAUAAAGUGUGGUGGAUGGAAAGCCGAUUUCCAGUCUUUAUGAUAACGCCGAUGUUCCACUUGGGAAAGAUACUGUACAACAAUGAAAGUAGCCCUUUCUUUUGUCUUUCAAAGAAUGUAUUUUUAACAAACAGCCUCUGUGUGAUCCUUUUGACCACACAAUUUGUAGAGUUAACGCUGAAAUUUUCAUUAGCAACAAUGAAAGCACACACAGGCACAAUAUUAAUAUAGAUUAAUAUCAGCCUAUUUUGGUCAGAAAGGCUCAUUUAAAUGUUUAAGAGACAGAAGUCCCAAAUUGUAGUAAUUUCUUCCACUAGCAGGAGGAAGCUCAGAAUUAGUUUUUCUACAACACUAGAGGAAUACUACUCAAAAAUAAAAAGGAAUUAACCAUUGAUACAUGCAACAACACAGAUGAAUCUCAAAGUAAUUGUGCUGAAAGAAACCAGACCCAGAAAAAGAUAAAUUCUAUAUGAUCUCAUUUAUAUAAGACUCUAGGAAAUGCAAACUAAUCUACACAUACAGAAAACUGAGGGCAGGUACUGAGAAGGGUAGGAGGGGGGCGUUACAGAGAGGCAUGAGGAAACUUUUUGGGGUGAUAGAUAUGUUUACUACUUUGAUUGUAAGGAUGAGGUCGCAACUCUGUGCGUGUCAGUGGUAUAUUUUAAUAUGAACGGCUUAUUUUAUGUAAAUUCUACCCCUAUAAAGCUGUUUUUUUUAAAAAAAAAAACUUCUCUUUGAGAGACAUCACCUUUGUCUUUUAAACCAUCUAAUGUUGAAUCUAAAAGUUCAGUGUAAAGUUUAAUAAAAUCAGAGUGUGUAUGUGUCUUAAUUUCCAGGACAUAUAAUCAUAGUGAUUAAGCCAAAAGUGCUUAUAUGAUUACCUAUAAACUAUCAUAGUUAAAUGACUAAAUACCCUGCAUAAGGUAAAAUGAUUAUUUUAUUCCUAUAGAUUGAAAUUGCCCAACUUUUUAUUAGAGAAUAAUAGAUUAGAGGGCAUGUUGGCUCAUACCUGUAAGCCCAAUGCUUUGGGAGGCUGAAGCGGGAGGAUCCCUUGAGGCCAGGAGUUGAAGAUCAGCUUGGGCAACAUAGCAAGACCACAUCUCUACAAAAAAAUUUAAAAUAAAAUGUUUAUCCAAGCAUAGUGGCACUCACUCACCUGUAGUACUAGCUGCUGAGGAAGCUGAGGCCUGGAGUUCAAACUGCACAACGCUGCACUUCAACCUAUGUGACAAAGUGAGAUCCUAUCUCUAAAAUAAUUAAUUCAGUUUUUAUAAUUAGGGAACAUUUAAAUUCAGAUUAUAAGUAAAAAAUGGAAUAAACAGUCCUGUUACCUGAUAUGGUUUGGAUCUCCAUCCCUACCCAAAUCUUAUGUUGAAAUGUAAUCCCCAAUGCUGGAGGUGGGGCCUGGUGGGAGAUGAUUGGAUCAUGGUGGUGGUUUCUCAUGGUUUAACACCAUCGUCCCCUGGUGCUGUCGCCGUGAUGAUGAAUUCUCACGAGAUCUGGUUGGUUUAAAAGUGUGUGGCACCUCCCCCUUCUCUCUUGCUCCUGCUCCUACCAUGUGAGAUGCCUUGGUCCCCCUUUGCCUUCCGCCAUGAUUCAGAGUUCUCUGAGGCCUCCCCAGAAGCAGAUGCUGCCAUGCUUUCUGUACAGCCUGCAGAACCGUAAGCCAAUUAAACCUCUUUUCUUAUACAUUACCCAGUGUCAGAUAUUUCUUUAUAGCAGUGUGAGAAUGGAUUAAUACACUACGUCAUGCAAAAUGUAAAAACAGGCAACUCACUGAGAGUAAACCUAAUCAACUUGUUCAUUUAGAUAUAAACUGUAGAGACGACACUGCCAUCUAGUUGUUGAAUACUGAGUAUACUGUUGAAACAUUCUUGACAAUGUUCUAUUUCUCUUUUGUAGACUUACAAGGAACACACAGAAGCCCCUAACCAAUUACAUCUCCUUCCUAGGAGUGUGAAUGUGACUGCCAUAGUGCAGCCCAUGCUGCCCCUGGUAAUUAUAUGCCUCAACCCAAGCAGUGAUCUGUGGUCAGUGAUCUUUGAUGUUACUAUUUUGACCGUUUGUGGGCACCACAAACUGUGCCCAUAUAACAUCAGCGAACUUAAUAAAUGGUGUGUGUGUUCGGACUGCUCUACCAACCGGCCAUCCCCCUAUCUUUCUCCCUCUCCUCAAACCUCCUUAUUCCCUGAGACACAAUACUGAAAUCAGGCCAAUUAAUCACCCUGCAAUGGCCUCCCAGUGUUCAAGUUAAAAGAAGACUUGUACAUCUCUCAUUGUAAAUCAAAAGCUAGAAAUGGUUAAGCUUAAUGAAGAGGCAUGUCAAAAGCCAAGACAGGCUAAAAAAGCUAGGGUCUUGUGCCAAACCAUUAAUUCUUGAAGGAAAUUAGAAGUGUUACUCCAGUAAACACCUAAGAAAACCUUAUUGCUGAUACGGAGAAAAAGUUUUAGUGGUCUGGAUAGAAAAUCAAACCAGCCACAACAUUCCCUUAGGCCAAAGCCUAAUCCAGAGCAAGGUUCUAAAUUCAAUUCUAUGAAGACUGAGAGGUAAGGAAGCUACAGAAGUUUGAAGCUAGUAGAGGUUGGUUUAUGAGGUUUAAAGAAAGAAGUCAUCUCCAUAAAUAAAAGUGCAAGGUGAAGCAGAAAGUGCUGAUGUAGAAGCUGCAGGAGUUUAUCCAGAUCCAGCUAAGACCAUUGUUAAAGGUGGCUAUACUCAGUAACAGAUUUUCAAUGUAGAUGUAACAAGCCUUUUAUUGGAAGAAGCCACCUUAGACUUUCACCGCUACAGAGAAGUCAGUGCCUGGCUUCAAAUCUUCCAAGAACCGGCUGACUUGUUAAAAGCUAAUGCUGCUGGUGACUUUAUAUUGAAGCCAAUGCUCAUUUGCCAUUCUGAAAAUCCUAGGGCCCUUAACAAUUAUGCUAAAUCUACUCUGCCUGUACUCUAUAAAUGGGACAAAGCCUGGAAGACAGCACAUCUGUUUACAGCAUGAUUUACUGAAUAUUUUAAGCCCACCAUUGAGAUCUACUGCACAAAAAGAUUCCUUUCAAAAUAUUGCUGCUCAUUAACAAUCAUCUCGUAUCCCAAGAGCUCAGACGGAGAUGGACAACGAGAUUCAUGCUGUUUUCAAGCCUGCUAACACAAUGUCCACUCUAUAGCCCAUAGACCAUGGAGCAAUUUCAACUUUCAAGUCUUAUGAUUUAAGAAAUACAUGUUGUAAGGCUAUUGCUGCCAUAAAUAGUGAUUUCUCUGAUGGAUCUGUGCAAAGUAAAUUGAAAACUUUCUGGAAAGGAUUCACUAUUCUAGAUAUCAAUAAGAACAUUCAUGAUUCAUGGGAUGAGGGCAAAAUAUCAUUUACUGGAGUUUAGAAGUUGUUUCCUGUCCUCAGAGAUGACUUUUAAGGGUUCAAGACUUCAAUGGAGGAAGUAACUGCAGAUGUGGUAGAAAUUGCAAGAUAACUAGAAUUAGGCCAGGUGUGGUGGCUCAAGCCUAUAAUCCCAGCACUUUGGGAGGCUAAAGUGGGCAGAUCGCUUGAGGCCAGGAGUUUGAGACCAGCCUGGAGUGAAACCCUGUCUCUACAAAAAAUGCAAAAAAUUAGCCAGGCAUGGUGGCGUGUACCUGUAGUCCCAGCUACUCUAGAGGCUAAAGUGGGAGGAUCACUUGGGCCCAAGAGGUAGAGGCUGCAGUGAGCUGUGAUGGUGCCACUGCACUCCAGCCCGGGGGCAGAGCAAGACCCUAUCUCAAAAAGAAAAAAGGCCAGACGUGGUGGCUCAUGCCUGUAACUCCAGCACUUUGGGAGGCCAAGGCGGGAAGAUCAUUUGAGCUCAGAAGUUCAAGACCAACCUGGGCAACAUGGCAAAAUCCUGUCUCUACUAAAAAUACAAAAAUUAGCCAGGUGUAGUGGCACGCACCUGCAGUCUUAGUUCUUGGGAGGG
This 5586-nucleotide long non-coding RNA is filed under the name Homo sapiens (human). Its description in RNAcentral is "non-protein coding lnc-SETD7-3:24". The record is from RNAcentral. Lineage: Eukaryota; Metazoa; Chordata; Mammalia; Primates; Hominidae.